CAAUAGCGUAUAUUAAAGUUGUUGCGGUAAAAAAGCUCGUAGUUGGAUUUCUGUUGAGAGCGACCGGUCCAUACCAUGUAUGCGUAUCUGGCUUGCUCUCGGCAUCCUCUCGAUAGACGUUACUGCGCUUGAUUGCGUGGUGCGGAUCUCGGGACUUUUACUUUGAGGAAAUUAGAGUGUUCACGGCAGGCUUUCGCCAGAAUACAUUAGCAUGGAAUAAUACUAUAGGAUCUUGGUUCUAUUUUGUUGGUUUCUAGAAUUGAGAUAAUGAUUAAUAGGGACAAUUGGGGGCAUUCGUAUCAACACGUCAGAGGUGGAAUUCUUGGAUUGUGUUGCGACAAACUACUGCGAAAGCAUUUGCCAAGGAUGUUUUCAUUGA
This 379-nucleotide ribosomal RNA is filed under the name uncultured eukaryote. RNAcentral describes it as "partial 18S ribosomal RNA". It matches the Rfam family "Eukaryotic small subunit ribosomal RNA", at positions 592 to 976 of the family's 1831-position model. The record is from RNAcentral.